GUAGCACAGUUCAAGGUCGGUUUGCAUAAGAUAUUUAUUGUAGAAAUAGCAAAUAAAACGUCACAUGAUAGAGAUUAAAAAAAUAAAUAAAUCAGAACAUGGAUUGGGCAACUAUGCUUGAGUCCAGUUCGCAAAACAAUAAGGAAAAUAUGUUUUCUUUUUCAACAUGACAAAAGCUUUUAUUUGACGUGACCCUGCUGUUUACCAGCGGCCGUCUCUGUCACUGGAGCCACUUGAUUAUUCCUGCUAAAUGAACCAAAGGGGUCUACUCAGCUGGUGUGAGGACCGACGCUCUGAACACACACAGAAAGAGGAAGCACAGACAAGCAGCCCCUUGUUGUGAACAUGCAGCUGGACAGCAAGGCUUUCAGACACUCAGAGUGGCUGCUGGUGCGGCUAUUGAAACAUCUUUUAAUGAUCCAAACAAGUUUCCCUUCAGUCCCCUCUGUGUGUGUGCCCAGCCGACUGCAUCAGAACACACAUGCUCUACCCACUGCUCCCUCCACAGCCCAUUACUGCACUGGGCACAGAGAGGCACCCUCUGCAGCGGAGCAGCUCAGUGAUCUUCACUGGGAACCCUGAAGCAGAAGUGACAGCCCAGCCUCUGCAGAUAAUGAAUACUCAGGCAUGGAGCUGUGUCUUAAUAAGAACGUGGUCUACAUCAAUCAGCUCUCCACAUAUAAUAUUCAUAACCUUCAAGAACACACAGCUGAACUAAUGGCAGACAGGACGUGUGUGUCCCCCUCUUUCAAUAUUGGAAUCCCUGUGUUCAUCAAUCCUUCACACACAUGGAAAUAAGACUCCCAUCGUAGUAAAACCUGGGUUGAGUGAAACUUCUGUGUGAUACAAGCCUUAUUUCCAUCCCUGUAUCAUGAAUGUAGCUUUAUAUCCCCUGAUGAAGCCUUGUCAUCAAGCCAGCCCAGUCAUAGCAUUUAUUUACCCCAGUAUUGGACUGAUUGCUUUGUCCUUGUUCGAGGAGACGCAGAGUGCCAACUGUGUAACUACUGUAAUGGCAAUACAUUGUAUAAUCAAUACUUUGUAUAGUCUAGGUUUUCAAUAAAG
Molecule: long non-coding RNA, 1062 nt
Organism: Polyodon spathula (Mississippi paddlefish)
Lineage: Eukaryota; Metazoa; Chordata; Actinopteri; Acipenseriformes; Polyodontidae
Exons: 4
Source: RefSeq, a predicted model, not a curated record